GGGAAACGAGCCCUUAUCAUGCAGUCGAGCGCAUCCUUCGGGAUGAGCGGCGGCGGGUGAGUAACGCGUGGGAAUGUGCCCUUCUCUACGGAAUAGCCACUGGAAACGGUGAGUAAUACCGUAUACGCCCUCAGGGGGAAAGAUUUAUCGGAGAAGGAUCAGCCCGCGUUAGAUUAGGUAGUUGGUGGGGUAACGGCCUACCAAGCCUACGAUCUAUAGCUGGUUUUAGAGGAUGAUCAGCCACACUGGGACUGAGACACGGCCCAGACUCCUACGGGAGGCAGCAGUAGGGAAUCUUGGACAAUGGGGGCAACCCUGAUCCAGCCAUGCCGCGUGAGUGAAGAAGGCCCUAGGGUCGUAAAGCUCUUUCGCCUGUGAUGAUAAUGACAGUAACAGGUAAAGAAACCCCGGCUAACUCCGUGCCAGCAGCCGCGGUAAUACGGAGGGGGUUAGCGUUGUUCGGAAUUACUGGGCGUAAAGCGCGCGUAGGCGGAUUGGAAAGUUGGGGGUGAAAUCCCGGGGCUCAACCCCGGAACUGCCUUCAAAACUCCCAGUCUAGAGUUCGAGAGAGGUGAGUGGAAUUCCGAGUGUAGAGGUGAAAUUCGUAGAUAUUCGGAAGAACACCAGUGGCGAAGGCGGCUCACUGGCUCGAUACUGACGCUGAGGUGCGAAAGUGUGGGGAGCAAACAGGAUUAGAUACCCUGGUAGUCCACACCGUAAACGAUGAAUGCCAGUCGUCGGAUAGUAUACUAUUCGGUGACACACCUAACGGAUUAAGCAUUCCGCCUGGGAGUACGGUCGCAAGAUUA
RNAcentral lists this ribosomal RNA (809 nucleotides) under uncultured bacterium. RNAcentral describes it as "bacterial SSU rRNA". It matches the Rfam family "Bacterial small subunit ribosomal RNA", at positions 41 to 896 of the family's 1533-position model. The record is from RNAcentral.